AGAAACUGAAACAACGGCGGUUUUCUGUUCUACCGUCGUCUUUUCUCGUCGUCUAUAUUAAGGUAAGAUGGCGGUAGAUUUAUAAUUACCGACGUAGAUUAUUUUGUUAAACGUCGUUAAGUGUACUACAACCGACGUGGAUUUUAUUUUUAAAUUAUAAAUAGAGUUUUUUUUUCCGAAUUCUUUCAGUUUUAGUUUUC
This 200-nucleotide long non-coding RNA is filed under the name Prunus persica (peach). RNAcentral describes it as "long non-coding RNA (PPER_LNC007929)". The record is from RNAcentral. Lineage: Eukaryota; Viridiplantae; Streptophyta; Magnoliopsida; Rosales; Rosaceae.